AUGCCCUUAUCCUCCUCUUCCCGCCGUCGCCGAGGCGGGCGCGGCGGACGACGCGGCCGCAAUGCGCCGACGGCGCCGGCGGCCGCGGAUGAGACGGAGACGAGGAACUGGGCGGAGCUGCCGCUGGACGCGAUCUCGGCCAUCCUCCACAAGCUCGACCACGUCGACAUCCUGAUGGGGGCGGGCCAGUUGUGCCGCUCCUGGCGCGGCGCCGCUCGCGACGAGCCCGAGCUGUGGCGCCGCAUCAACAUGCUAGGCCACGCCGACCUCGAGCACGAGCUCAACUUCCCCGGGAUGGCGCAGGCCGCCGUCCGCCGCAGCGCGGGGAGGUGCGAGGCGUUCUGGUGCGAGUACGCCGCCGACCACGACUUCCUCCUCUACCUCGCCGACCAGGCACCAUCUCUUAAGAGCCUUCGCCUCAUUUCUUGCUAUGAUGUUUUCGAUGAUGGACUCACUGAGGCGAUAAUGAAGUUCCCUUUGCUUGAGGAGCUCGAGCUUUCAGUGUGUCCAAAUAUGGAUGACAGUGGUGUCUUUGGUGUUAUCGGUAAAGCAUGCCCACAGCUGAAACGCUUCAGACUGUGUAAGGAUGUGUUCUUUGAUUAUGAAGCCAGUGAGCAGGAAAAGGACGAGGAAGCCCUGGGGAUUGCGACUAUGCACGAGCUACGCUCUUUGCAGCUGUUUGGCAAUAGCCUCACCAACAAAGGGCUGACAGCCAUCCUGGACAAUUGCCGACACCUGGAGUCCCUUGACAUCCGCCACUGUUUCAACGUCACCAUGGACGAUGCCCUGCGUGCAAAGUGUGCCAGGAUAAGCACACUGAGGCUUCCGAAUGACUCAACCGAUGACUACGACUUCAUUGUGAAGAGCCCUAUUUGGAGGAAUUCAGAGUCCUUUCUGGGUGAUUAUGUGGGAUCUGAUUCUGACUACGAGCUUGGCUCGGAUGAUUACGACGACUACUGCGAUCCUUCCCGCUACCUUGAUGGUGUGUAUGAGGACGAGCUUAAUGAUGAAGCGAGGAUGCUUCUCAGGGGCAUGCGUAUGCUUAUGAAGUGA
RNAcentral lists this ribosomal RNA (1053 nucleotides) under Triticum aestivum (bread wheat). RNAcentral describes it as "partial small subunit ribosomal RNA". The record is from RNAcentral. Lineage: Eukaryota; Viridiplantae; Streptophyta; Magnoliopsida; Poales; Poaceae.